CCUACGGGAGGCAGCAGUAGGGAAUAUUGCUCAAUGGGGGAAACCCUGAAGCAGCAACGCCGCGUGGAGGAUGAAGGUUUUCGGAUUGUAAACCUCUGUCAGCAGGGAAGAACGGUCACUGUGCUAAUCAGCAGUGAAUUGACGGUACCUGCAAAGGAAGCACCGGCUAACUCCGUGCCAGCAGCCGCGGUAAUACGGAGGGUGCGAGCGUUAAUCGGAAUUACUGGGCGUAAAGCGCUCGUAGGCGGUAUGUCAAGUCAAGGGUGAAAUCCCCGCGCUCAACGUGGGAACUGCCUUUGAAACUGGCAAACUGGAGUGUGUGAGAGGAUAGUGGAAUUCCAGGUGUAGGAGUGAAAUCCGUAGAUAUCUGGAGGAACAUCAGUGGCGAAGGCGACUAUCUGGCACAUAACUGACGCUGAGGAGCGAAAGCGUGGGUAGCAAACAGGAUUAGAUACCCGGGUAGUC
This 465-nucleotide ribosomal RNA is filed under the name uncultured bacterium. Its description in RNAcentral is "partial 16S ribosomal RNA". It matches the Rfam family "Bacterial small subunit ribosomal RNA", at positions 338 to 795 of the family's 1533-position model. The record is from RNAcentral.